Molecule: long non-coding RNA, 493 nt
Filed under: Physcomitrium patens
Lineage: Eukaryota; Viridiplantae; Streptophyta; Bryopsida; Funariales; Funariaceae
Description: long non-coding RNA (PPAT_LNC012395)
Source: RNAcentral
UUCACAACCUGUCUGCCUGUGUCCUCGACACGGUGGUCCGCGUCAAGGAUUCCAGAUCGCAGUGAAACCUGGUUGCAGGAACCACUACCAGCACUUGAAUCAAGGCAAUUAAAUAUUACAUGAAAAAUAAAGUCUCAUACAUAAAUCAGAAAAGUUUAACUAUAUGUCUAGAUAGAUUUUUUUAAGAUUAGAUAUAUUGCAAUUCGUAUCAAAGUCGGCUGAAUUAAAAAAAUCCUUAACAAUCACAUUCUUCUCUAUGCACAGCGGCUUCAGACAGUAUGCUUCGUAAUUGAGGAUUCUGCACAUUGAUAAGUACGAGGUAGAAGACGCAGAUACCAGGUUCGAAGGUAUUAAUUCUAAUCAACUUAUUCGUUGGAGGGAAUCUCUUAAAUUCAAAUAUGUCAUUCAUAAGAGCCAAGCUGCGAAAGGGCCAUUGUAUGCAACAAUAAUGUCAAAAACGUUCGCAAUUGAAAGGAUUAAACCAUUUGAAAAU